GCAAGUCGAACGAGAAAGCUUUAGCUUGCUCGGAGGAGUAAAGUGGCGCACGGGUGAGUAACGCGUGGGUAACCUGCCCCUGAAUCUGGGAUAACUUCGCGAAAGCGUUGCUAAUACCGGAUAUUGUCCCUUUUGCUGUGGCAAGAGGGAUGAAAGGUGACCUAUCCAUGGAAGUUGCCGUUUAGGGAGGGGCUCGCGUACCAUUAGCUUGUUGGUGGGGUAAUGGCCCACCAAGGCUACGAUGGUUAGCUGGUCUGAGAGGAUGAUC
Molecule: ribosomal RNA, 268 nt
Filed under: uncultured bacterium
Lineage: Bacteria
Description: partial 16S ribosomal RNA
Rfam family: Bacterial small subunit ribosomal RNA
Source: RNAcentral